AUGUACGGCCAGUACACGCCGGUUCCUGCGCGCCACCCGCACCCGCCUGGCGACCGCUCGCUACGUUUUGUUGGCG
This 76-nucleotide small RNA is filed under the name Dyella acidiphila. Its description in RNAcentral is "sX9 sRNA". It matches the Rfam family "Xanthomonas sRNA sX9". Lineage: Bacteria; Pseudomonadati; Pseudomonadota; Gammaproteobacteria; Lysobacterales; Rhodanobacteraceae. The record is from RNAcentral.